CAGUCCUUUAAAACUGCCAUUCCCUCCAGUCUGCUCACAAAGCUCAAUAACCCUGGCAUCAGCACCUCUGUGUAAUUGGAUUUUGGAUUUUCUAAACACCUGACAUUAAUCUGUUACAAUUUUCUCCCUACAUAAGUGAUUGUAUGCCUAUGCACGACUCUAAUGUCAUCAUUAAGCCGAUAGUCAAAGUUGAUUGAGUCCAGAGAUCACACACCGUCUCACAGCUCAGUAGCAGCUCAGUCAGAAGGCCUUGCAACGAGUUGUGAAGUCUGCCCAGUGAAUCCUCAGCACCCGGUUUCCUGUUAUCGAUGCUAUCGGUACGUACAGGGCCUGCAGAGCGCGUGGAGUGUAUCGUCAAGGACACCACUCACCCAAGCAAUGGACCGUUCCCUGCUACCAUCAGCGGCGUGUCCCAGGAGUGAAGGAAGGCCCAUAAUAAAGGCAAAGAAAGAAGACAGAAGUGCAUUGGAGAGAGGGGGAGAAGGUCCUUAAUCAGUCUAACACCACAAGUGGAGCAUGGUUUCAUUUCCGCAGGAAGACGACCUCCUCUUAUUGCCGCCAUGCUAACUGCUGCAGCAGGGAGAGGGAUGCAUAUAUAUAUAAAAUGAGGGCUGGCAAUAUGAGUGCAACUCUCAGCCCGCGUUGACACUAGCCCAAUUAUCCAGGCCUCCCAUUGUCACAGAGACAGGCAUGUUGUAGUGUGUUGGUGCCCGACCAUGCCAGUCUCGCUGUGAGGAACACAACAUCAGAGCCGAACUCAGGAUCUACAGGAUCGCACUGAAGCCUGCUGUGCUUGAUGGUCAAACUAAUCAAUGAAUAUUGACAAUGUCGCUGCGCGUUUCCUACCGAAGAGGAUUGUGGAUCCAUACUACGGCCGUGUUCUUCCUUUUACAUGUUUAAUAAGAUCGAUGUUUCUUAAUAGUAGUGGGCUGUCUUAUGUGUGUUCAGAUACGACUGAUCCUGAAGAAAUGUCUUAGGAAUGACGUGCUUGUUUUGUUUACUCAUUGUAACAUGAUGUCUUCCAUUUUUAAGCACGGCUACAGUAUUAUAAGCCGUGAUUUUACGAGUGUGAUGAGUGCCAGUGUUCAUGCUGUUUUAUAUUAGGUUAAUACUGGGUUUGAGAUCUGAAUAAGUAGUAGAAGUAGGUAUUAAAUCUCAAUUGAAAAAGGGUACAGUUCCACUUUGCUGAUGUGUUCAUGUACAUGAACAGUGAAGUUAAUGGCUUAUUAAUGUAUCUGGGUGUAAACAGAUGUAAUUGAACAUGUAUCUAAAGAGUAGUUUUCUUUGUGUGUCAUUUUGUAGAGAGGUUGGUUUUGUUGCAACAACAAUAUAUAUAAAAAAAUAAAUAACAGCAGCCAAAAAAAGAGGAAAAAUAAAGAGUUUUACCUGGAGGAUCUCUGACAAAGAUCUUCAAAACUGGUUCAAAGUUUGUCUGAUCGAUGGUCUUUCUCGCUCUCCUCAGUUAGCGAGUCUCCUUAGCGUGGGAUAAUUUUAUGUAUUUAUUUUAAACUGUAAUUUAUAUAGGAUUAAGCAGAUUAAACUAGCUGGGCUUCUUCUCCAAGAUGUAAUACUGAAUUUAUCUCAAAUGCUAUGUUAUCUGGUUUGAGGGGCAGAGUUCUGGUCCGUGGUAAGCACAUAGCAUCAGUAUAUCAUACGUCGGGUCGGCAUAUCGUCAGAAGAAAGUUCUCGUAGCAGGUUUUUGAACAUCGUCCUUUGCAACCGUUAAAUACCUCCAAUUGAAUGACCGUGUAUGCAAAUAAUACAUACAAAUAAACAUGUGCAUAUACAGUAUACAUAUGCUGGUGGUGUUCUCAGAGAAAGAAAGAGGGCACGACUUGCUGUCUUUUGAUUCAG
Long non-coding RNA from Ictalurus punctatus (channel catfish), 1854 nucleotides. NCBI's taxonomy places the organism in Eukaryota, Metazoa, Chordata, Actinopteri, Siluriformes, Ictaluridae. The record is from Ensembl.